UGAGGAAUAUUGGGCAAUGGGCGAGAGCCUGACCCAGCAACGCCGCGUGGAGGAAGACGGCCUUCGGGUUGUAAACUCCUUUUGACGGGGAAGAGAGAGGACGGUACCCGUCGAAUAAGUCACGGCUAACUACGUGCCAGCAGCCGCGGUAAUACGUAGGUGACAAGCGUUAUCCGGAAUUACUGGGCGUAAAGCGCACGCAGGCGGCAGAUUAAGUCUGACGUGAAAUCUCCUGGCUUAACUGGGAGGGGUCGUUGGGAACUGGUCAGCUUGAGGUGGUGAGAGGGGUGUAGAAUUCCCGGUGUAGUGGUGGAAUGCGUAGAUAUCGGGAGGAAUACCGAGUGGCGAAAGCGACACCCGUGGCACUAGCCUGACGCUCAUGUGCGAAAGCGUGGGGAGCAA
This 402-nucleotide ribosomal RNA is filed under the name uncultured bacterium. Its description in RNAcentral is "bacterial SSU rRNA". It matches the Rfam family "Bacterial small subunit ribosomal RNA", at positions 355 to 771 of the family's 1533-position model. The record is from RNAcentral.